AGCGGGGUAGGGAAGCUUGGAGUUCCCGCUGGGCUCAUAACCCAGAGACCGGUGGUUCAAAUAUUCGAAUCUGCGUUGGUUUGAGUUGGUACUCCACUCCACGCUA
This 106-nucleotide transfer RNA is filed under the name Microcaldota archaeon. RNAcentral describes it as "tRNA-Met". Lineage: Archaea; Nanobdellati; Microcaldota. The record is from RNAcentral.